UGGGGAAUUUUGGACAAUGGGGGAAACCCUGAUCCAGCCAUCCCGCGUGUGCGAUGAAGGCCUUCGGGUUGUAAAGCACUUUUGGCAGGAAAGAAACGUCAUGGGUUAAUACCCCGUGAAACUGACGGUACCUGCAGAAUAAGCACCGGCUAACUACGUGCCAGCAGCCGCGGUAAUACGUAGGGUGCAAGCGUUAAUCGGAAUUACUGGGCGUAAAGCGUGCGCAGGCGGUUCGGAAAGAAAGAUGUGAAAUCCCAGAGCUCAACUUUGGAACUGCAUUUUUAACUACCGGGCUAGAGUGUGUCAGAGGGAGGUGGAAUUCCGCGUGUAGCAGUGAAAUGCGUAGAUAUGCGGAGGAACACCGAUGGCGAAGGCAGCCUCCUGGGAAAACACUGACGCUCAUGCAAGAAAGCGUGGGGAGCAAACAGG
RNAcentral lists this ribosomal RNA (429 nucleotides) under Acidobacteriota bacterium. RNAcentral describes it as "Acidobacteria bacterium partial 16S ribosomal RNA". It matches the Rfam family "Bacterial small subunit ribosomal RNA", at positions 355 to 776 of the family's 1533-position model. The record is from RNAcentral. Lineage: Bacteria; Pseudomonadati; Acidobacteriota.